AUUGAACGCUGGCGGCAGGCCUAACACAUGCCAGUCGAGCGGUAACAGGAAGAAGCUUGCUUCUUUGCUGACGAGUGGCGGACGGGUGAGUAAUGUCUGGGAAACUGCCUGAUGGAGGGGGAUAACUACUGGAAACGGUAGCUAAUACCGCAUAACGUCGCAAGACCAAAGAGGGGGACCUUCGGGCCUCUUGCCAUCGGAUGUGCCCAGAUGGGAUUAGCUAGUAGGUGGGGUAACGGCUCACCUAGGCGACGAUCCCUAGCUGGUCUGAGAGGAUGACCAGCCACACUGGAACUGAGACACGGUCCAGACUCCUACGGGAGGCAGCAGUGGGGAAUAUUGCACAAUGGGCGCAAGCCUGAUGCAGCCAUGCCGCGUGUAUGAAGAAGACCUUCGGGUUGUAAAGUACUUUCAGCGGGGAGGAAGGGAGUAAAGUUAAUACCUUUGCUCAUUGACGUUACCCGCAGAAGAAGCACCGGCUAACUCCGUG
This 490-nucleotide ribosomal RNA is filed under the name uncultured bacterium. Its description in RNAcentral is "partial 16S ribosomal RNA". It matches the Rfam family "Bacterial small subunit ribosomal RNA", at positions 30 to 507 of the family's 1533-position model. The record is from RNAcentral.